UAGGGAAUCUUCGGCAAUGGGGGCAACCCUGACCGAGCAACGCCGCGUGAGUGAAGAAGGUUUUCGGAUCGUAAAGCUCUGUUGUAAGUCAAGAACGAGUGUGAGAGUGGAAAGUUCACACUGUGACGGUAGCUUACCAGAAAGGGACGGCUAACUACGUGCCAGCAGCCGCGGUAAUACGUAGGUCCCGAGCGUUGUCCGGAUUUAUUGGGCGUAAAGCGAGCGCAGGCGGUUUGAUAAGUCUGAAGUUAAAGGCUGUGGCUCAACCAUAGUUCGCUUUGGAAACUGUCAAACUUGGGUGCAGAAGGGGAGAGUGGAAUUCCAUGUGUAGCGGUGAAAUGCGUAGAUAUAUGGAGGAACACCGGUGGCGAAAGCGGCUCUCUGGUCUGUAACUGACGCUGAGGCUCGAAAGCGUGGGGAGCGAACAGGAUUAGAUACCCUGGUAGUCCACGCCGUAAACGAUGAGUGCUAGGUGUUGGAUCCUUUCCGGGACUCAGUGCCGCAGCUAACGCAUUAAGCACUCCGCCUGGGGAGUACGACCGCAAGGUUG
Molecule: ribosomal RNA, 550 nt
Filed under: uncultured bacterium
Lineage: Bacteria
Description: bacterial SSU rRNA
Rfam family: Bacterial small subunit ribosomal RNA
Source: RNAcentral